CCUACGGGUGGCAGCAGUGGGGAAUAUUGCACAAUGGGCGAAACCCUGAUGCAGCGACGCCGCGUGAGUGAAGAAGUAUCUCGGUACGUAAAGCUCUAUCAGCAGGGAAGAAAAUGACGGUACCUGACUAAGAAGCCCCGGCUAACUACGUGCCAGCAGCCGCGGUAAUACGUAGGGGGCAAGCGUUAUCCGGAUUUACUGGGUGUAAAGGGCGCGUAGACGGCAACACAAGUCUGGCGUGAAAGCCCGGGGCUUAACCCAAGAACGGCAUUGGAAACUGUGCGGCUGGAGUGCAGGAGGGGUAAGCGGAAUUCCUGGUGUAGCGGUGAAAUGCGUAGAUAUUAGGAGGAACACCGGUGGCGAAGGCGGCUUACUGGACUGUAACUGACGUUGAGGCUCGAAAGCGUGGGGAGCAAACAGGAUUAGAUACCCCUGUAGUC
Molecule: ribosomal RNA, 440 nt
Filed under: uncultured bacterium
Lineage: Bacteria
Description: partial 16S ribosomal RNA
Rfam family: Bacterial small subunit ribosomal RNA
Source: RNAcentral